Molecule: long non-coding RNA, 1120 nt
Organism: Teleopsis dalmanni
Lineage: Eukaryota; Metazoa; Arthropoda; Insecta; Diptera; Diopsidae
Exons: 3
Source: RefSeq, a predicted model, not a curated record
UUAAUUUUUUCUUAGUCGUGAUUAGUGAUAAAAAUCAAAAAUAAAAAAAGUUGACAGAAAGUGUAUUAAAAGUGCAUUAUGUGUUGCAACAAAAGUAUAUAUACGUAGAUAAGUAUAUAUAUAUACCUAAAUAAAACCAGGAGAUGUGGUCUGAUGCAGAGCUUAUGCCAUGUUUACAUAAGGCAAACAACAAAAAAACUGGUCGUAUAAACAGGCGCUGCGCGAAGUGAUCUUGGACCGCGUGGGACGUCGCCGAUACCAUCUUCAUUACAUUUUUAAACUCUUGUAACAAAAACUAAAUCUCUUCGUAGGCCUACAUAACAAUUGUUAUAUUUAUUAUUAUUACUAAAAAUUACUACAAAUUCGUAAUUCUUUUCAAAAAUCUAUCCUCAUACAAUCUUAUACCAUCAUUGUUAAUAUAAUUCAAAUAUACUAAUAUAACUGUAUUAUAUAUUAAAUUAUAUCUAUAUCUAAUAAAUACCAAACAACCAUUACAAAGCCUUUACAUCAGAAAUGGACAACUACUAUACCGAUGAGGAACUACAAAUCGCAUAUCAAUCAGCCAUGGCUGACAUUCUCUUUGAAAAGCCACAAAUCCACACCAAUCAUGCUCUAACCAACACUACAACACAUCACUGUCAUACCACACAUAUAUUAUCCAAAAGUACUACCUCAUCUCAUAUACCAUAACAUGGGCAUAAUCUUCAUCAAUUUGCUUCAUCACCAAUAUUAAAUAUAACAAAUAUUGCCUCAAAUAUACCAAAAACCAUCAACAACAGAUCCAACAGUCCAUCUAAUACAAAUCCGACUACUACCACCACUACUAUAUUCACCACAGCACCAAUCACAGUAUCAUCCUUCAACAACUCAACACCACCUGUUCCAUCACAAUUAUUACAACCUAUAACUACAUCAAACGGUAAAUCAUCUCAAACUUCUUAUUCUUAGUAAUUUAUAAAUUCUUAUAUUAUUUCCUCUUCAUUUUACAUAAUUUUAUCAACUUACUAUCCAUUACAUCUCUCACAAUUUUCAUAAUUUUAUACAAUUUUACAUUAUUUUAUAUCUACUAUAUUUUAUAUUAUUAACUAAAUCAAUGUCAAAAACAUACCUGAAACACCAU